AAAUUGAAGAGUUUGAUCAUGGCUCAGAUUGAACGCUGGCGGCAGGCCUAACACAUGCAAGUCGAACGGUAACAGGAAGCGCUUGCUGCUUCGCUGACGAGUGGCGGACGGGUGAGUAAUGUCUGGGAA
This 129-nucleotide ribosomal RNA is filed under the name Escherichia coli. RNAcentral's name for it is "partial 16S ribosomal RNA". It matches the Rfam family "Bacterial small subunit ribosomal RNA", at positions 1 to 123 of the family's 1533-position model. RNAcentral also lists the same sequence under 1 other name. The record is from RNAcentral. Lineage: Bacteria; Pseudomonadati; Pseudomonadota; Gammaproteobacteria; Enterobacterales; Enterobacteriaceae.